Molecule: unclassified non-coding RNA, 155 nt
Filed under: Sphingomonas sp. T1
Lineage: Bacteria; Pseudomonadati; Pseudomonadota; Alphaproteobacteria; Sphingomonadales; Sphingomonadaceae
Source: RNAcentral
GGGCGGCAUGAUCGCGUCGGUGCCCCGAAAGGGGCUUAAUAGGGAACGCGGUGAGGGUGGUUCGCCACCUGAAGCCGAGGCUGUCCCUGCAACUGUAAGCGGCGAGCGCGAUGCAUUUCGCUUCUUCCUGAACCGGAAGAAGCAGCCACUGGGCC